AAAGCAGGAAUUGUGUGUAUCGGCGUUGUGCUAAUUUCAGUGCAUACUUUCCGAAAGAGUUUCCUGCAAAAUUAAUUUGGGGAAAGUGGGCAGUUGUGUUUCAUUUUCUUUGGUUGAAAUUCAACAAUCAUUUUCCCCAUAUCU
This is a small nucleolar RNA of Humulus lupulus (European hop), 144 nucleotides long. RefSeq annotates it as small nucleolar RNA snoR135. The transcript has a single exon. The record is from RefSeq and is a predicted model, not a curated record. NCBI's taxonomy places the organism in Eukaryota, Viridiplantae, Streptophyta, Magnoliopsida, Rosales, Cannabaceae.